Molecule: ribosomal RNA, 398 nt
Filed under: uncultured bacterium
Lineage: Bacteria
Description: partial 16S ribosomal RNA
Rfam family: Bacterial small subunit ribosomal RNA
Source: RNAcentral
AUACGUAGGGUGCGAGCGUUGUCCGGAAUUACUGGGCGUAAAGAGCUCGUAGGUGGCUUGUCGCGUCGUCUGUGAAAUUCCGGGGCUUAACUCCGGGCGUGCAGGCGAUACGGGCAUAACUUGAGUACUGUAGGGGAGACUGGAAUUCCUGGUGUAGCGGUGAAAUGCGCAGAUAUCAGGAGGAACACCGGUGGCGAAGGCGGGUCUCGGGGCAGUAACUGACGCUGAGGAGCGAAAGCAUGGGUAGCGAACAGGAUUAGAUACCCUGGUAGUCCAUGCCGUAAACGGUGGGCGCUAGGUGUAGGGGCCUUCCACGACUUCUGUGCCGUAGCUAACGCAUUAAGCGCCCCGCCUGGGGGGUACGGCCGCAAGGCUAAAACUCAAAUGAAUUGACGGGG